This 498-nucleotide ribosomal RNA is filed under the name Rhodotorula mucilaginosa. RNAcentral describes it as "partial large subunit ribosomal RNA". It matches the Rfam family "Eukaryotic large subunit ribosomal RNA", at positions 50 to 543 of the family's 3401-position model. Lineage: Eukaryota; Fungi; Basidiomycota; Microbotryomycetes; Sporidiobolales; Sporidiobolaceae. The record is from RNAcentral.
GCGGAGGAAAAGAAACUAACAAGGAUUCCCCUAGUAGCGGCGAGCGAAGCGGGAAGAGCUCAAAUUUAUAAUCUGGCACCUUCGGUGUCCGAGUUGUAAUCUCUAGAAAUGUUUUCCGCGUUGGACCGCACACAAGUCUGUUGGAAUACAGCGGCAUAGUGGUGAGACCCCCGUAUAUGGUGCGGACGCCCAGCGCUUUGUGAUACAUUUUCGAAGAGUCGAGUUGUUUGGGAAUGCAGCUCAAAUUGGGUGGUAAAUUCCAUCUAAAGCUAAAUAUUGGCGAGAGACCGAUAGCGAACAAGUACCGUGAGGGAAAGAUGAAAAGCACUUUGGAAAGAGAGUUAACAGUACGUGAAAUUGUUGGAAGGGAAACGCUUGAAGUCAGACUUGCUUGCCGAGCAAUCGGUUUGCAGGCCAGCAUCAGUUUUCCGGGAUGGAUAAUGGUAGAGAGAAGGUAGCAGUUUCGGCUGUGUUAUAGCUCUCUGCUGGAUACAUCUU